AGCAGCCAUCAUUUAAAGAAAGCGUAAUAGCUCACUGGUCGAGUCGGCCUGCGCGGAAGAUGUAACGGGGCUAAACCAUGCACCGAAGCUGCGGCAGCGACACUAUGUGUUGUUGGGUAGGGGAGCGUUCUGUAAGCCUGCGAAGGUGUGCUGUGAGGCAUGCUGGAGGUAUCAGAAGUGCGAAUGCUGACAUAAGUAACGAUAAAGCGGGUGAAAAGCCCGCUCGCCGGAAGACCAAGGGUUCCUGUCCAACGUUAAUCGGGGCAGGGUGAGUCGACCCCUAAGGCGAGGCCGAAAGGCGUAGUCGAUGGGAAACAGGUUAAUAUUCCUGUACUUGGUGUUACUGCGAAGGGGGGACGGAGAAGGCUAUGUUAGCCGGGCGACGGUUGUCCCGGUUUAAGC
This 402-nucleotide ribosomal RNA is filed under the name Klebsiella pneumoniae. Its description in RNAcentral is "partial 23S ribosomal RNA". It matches the Rfam family "Bacterial large subunit ribosomal RNA", at positions 1111 to 1517 of the family's 2925-position model. Lineage: Bacteria; Pseudomonadati; Pseudomonadota; Gammaproteobacteria; Enterobacterales; Enterobacteriaceae. The record is from RNAcentral.